RNAcentral lists this ribosomal RNA (500 nucleotides) under uncultured Glomeromycotina. Its description in RNAcentral is "partial small subunit ribosomal RNA". It matches the Rfam family "Eukaryotic small subunit ribosomal RNA", at positions 591 to 1092 of the family's 1831-position model. The record is from RNAcentral. Lineage: Eukaryota; Fungi; Glomeromycota.
CCAAUAGCGUAUAUUAAAGUUGUUGCAGUUAAAAAGCUCGUAGUUGAAUUUCGGGAUCAAUAUAUCGGUCGUGCCUCCGGUACGUACUGGUAUCGUUGAUUUCUACCUUCUGACGAACCAUGAUGUCAUUAAUUUGGUGUCAUGGGAAAUCAGGACUGUUACUUUGAAAAAAUUAGAGUGUUUAAAGCAGGCAUACGCUUGAAUACAUUAGCAUGGAAUAAUGAAAUAGGACGUUUGAUCCUAUUUUGUUGGUUUCUAGGAUCGACGUAAUGAUUAAUAGGGAUAGUUGGGGGCAUUAGUAUUCAAUUGUCAGAGGUGAAAUUCUUGGAUUUAUUGAAGACUAACUACUGCGAAAGCAUUUGCCAAGGAUGUUUUCAUUAAUCAAGAACGAAAGUUAGGGGAUCGAAGACGAUCAGAUACCGUCGUAGUCUUAACCAUAAACUAUGCCGACUAGGGAUCGGAUGAUGUUAAUUUUUUAAUGACUCAUUCGGCGCCUUACG